CCUCUUCACAUUCUGUUGAUAAUGUUAGAUCAUUGUUUUAAUGUUUUAAGUUUACAUUCUAGCAUAUCUUACACAUUGAACCUUUAGGUAGCAGCCAGAGUGUUACUAAACAUGAAUCUGGCCUCCUGAUGGGUGGCAUUCACUCGUCUAGCUGUAACCAAACCCAAGACAACAGUGGCCUCUUCAAUAAUUCAGAAGGUGCCGGAGGCUGACAGGUUGGUGGUGAUGGUGAUAUCCUCUUUGUUGGAGCCCUCUGUCUGGAUGCGGACUGAGCUGUCGGUGUCGGUGCGGUAGCUGCUCACUCGGCCCGUGGGGGCCUUGAGCUAGAGCAAUUCCUCAGGCUUCACCGCUGAGCUCUAAUGGCUCUGGCCUGCUUCAGCUCAGCUGCAUAUUAGCUUGCUUUCUCUGGACGAGAGGGGCACGCAGGGGCAGGCUGCUCAGCAGAAGGAGAGGACUGCUUUCCCCCUGGAUGGCCACAAGUCCAUUCGGAUUGCAUCACCUCUGUGUCACAUGCUAGCUCUAUGACCUUUCACGCUGGGGCCCAACAAUAGCCCGGACACUUCAUAUCAGCGUCGCCUCCAGCAUAGCUAGCCUCAGUCUUCUCAUACUUUCACUUCCUCUUGCUGCGUGAGAAUUUCAGAUCACAUGUGACUGAUGACUGUACAUAUGAUAUAAGGGCAACAGCCAUGUGAUUGCUUCAAAAGAACUUCAACAGUUGUUUUACAUGAUCUAGCUGCUAUAAUUGAUGUAUAAUCCACCUAAGAACAUUUGCUUGAACCCAGUGACUAGAAAUAUUACCGGCCUGUUAAUUAGAGGCCAAGGGAACAAUUAGGCAUCCUUCAGAAUGCUUCAAGAUUUAAUAGAUUUACAGCAACCCUUAAGCAAGAGCACUUAUCAUUACAGCAAAAACAUUAGGAGGUCAGCAGAGCAUCUGCGUAUACAGUAAAUGUCAGAGCAAAUGAGGUUGCCAAGGGUUACAACAGAAAGACAGUGUAGCAGAUGUCUUUUGUUCUCAAGUCAGUCCUUUGUGUUUUGUGUCUGCAUUUAUCUAAAUUGAAUUCAAGGUAUAGGCUACAGGAUGUAAGUACAAAAUAAUUAAUAUGGGUAAACAUGUUUAGCAGUGCUCUUUGCUUCUGCAGAGAUGAAUGGAGCAAAUUAUGGUUUUGACCCUCAGGUGGCGGAGUGACCUUCAAAGCUAAUUAUAUACGAAAAACAAACACUCUUUAUUGAAGCAAAUGAAACUUGGAUGAUUGCUCGUAGGUAAAUAUGAAGUCUUUGUUUUAUUUGAAAGAGAAAAACAGGAAACUGAAUACCGUAAUUAAUUUUCUUCAUUUUAACCGUAACAUAUUUCUAUGUAAAUAAGCAUGUUUUGGACUGAUAGUUUAUGCUGCAGGACAUGCAUGUUAACUCUUAGUUAUUUUAUUAAAACCUAAUCUGACAUUUUUUGUUUGUUGUUGGUAGUUAUAUUGUAUCUUUAAUUAUUCCAUUUUACAGGGAAAUGGUGUUAAACUGGCCCCUUGCAAUAUACUGUAUGUACUGCAGACUUAACACUAUUUUCACCCUUUGUUCCAUUAUAACAUUUAAUAUACAUAAUGUAGCUCUUUCAUUACCGAUGCUAUGACGGUACUAUUGUAGAACGAUAUCUGUACAUGCCACAGUAUCCCUAUUUCUUCCAGAUUAACUCUGUGAUGUUAUUACAAAAACAUGUGGAAUUCAAACAUUCUGAAAAUGCUUUCAUUAUUUUCUAUGUUUUUCAUUAAUGGGGAGACUUGUGAGAAAUGCAGGAUAUCCUGAACAUCCAUUGUUUGUAAAGCCCUUUGUGUUACUUGUCUAUACAUUGAAAAAAUGAGGUAUACUCUGUCCAAUGCCUAUCACACGUUUCUUAAGAUCUGGUGACCCUUAAUUGAACAUAUUAAGAGGACGAGGUGUCAACCAGGAAAGUAAAUGUGGAUCCAAAAUUCCAAAUUUUAGCCUUCGUUUCGGGCCUUCCUCAACCUCACGUGGUGUAGUCUCCACGGACUCUAUUUUUGAUCCUACAUUCACUUGUGGACGUUCCAGUUAUCAUAUGAUUGACAUGCAUCCACACUUUUUUCUGUGUUUUAUUUUGUUUUUUUACUUUGUCAUGUCUUUGUGUUGUAAAAAAGGAAAGAAAUCAAAAAUAAAACGUUAAAAAGG
This is a long non-coding RNA of Cottoperca gobio, 2175 nucleotides long. RefSeq lists it as uncharacterized. The transcript is spliced from 3 exons. The record is from RefSeq and is a predicted model, not a curated record. Lineage: Eukaryota; Metazoa; Chordata; Actinopteri; Perciformes; Bovichtidae.